This 2221-nucleotide ribosomal RNA is filed under the name Staphylococcus aureus. RNAcentral describes it as "partial 23S ribosomal RNA". It matches the Rfam family "Bacterial large subunit ribosomal RNA", at positions 701 to 2925 of the family's 2925-position model. The record is from RNAcentral. Lineage: Bacteria; Bacillati; Bacillota; Bacilli; Caryophanales; Staphylococcaceae.
AUUUGGUCGUAGACCCGAAACCAGGUGAUCUACCCUUGGUCAGGUUGAAGUUCAGGUAACACUGAAUGGAGGACCGAACCGACUUACGUUGAAAAGUGAGCGGAUGAACUGAGGGUAGCGGAGAAAUUCCAAUCGAACCUGGAGAUAGCUGGUUCUCUCCGAAAUAGCUUUAGGGCUAGCCUCAAGUGAUGAUUAUUGGAGGUAGAGCACUGUUUGGACGAGGGGCCCCUCUCGGGUUACCGAAUUCAGACAAACUCCGAAUGCCAAUUAAUUUAACUUGGGAGUCAGAACAUGGGUGAUAAGGUCCGUGUUCGAAAGGGAAACAGCCCAGACCACCAGCUAAGGUCCCAAAAUAUAUGUUAAGUGGAAAAGGAUGUGGCGUUGCCCAGACAACUAGGAUGUUGGCUUAGAAGCAGCCAUCAUUUAAAGAGUGCGUAAUAGCUCACUAGUCGAGUGACACUGCGCCGAAAAUGUACCGGGGCUAAACAUAUUACCGAAGCUGUGGAUUGUCCUUUGGACAAUGGUAGGAGAGCGUUCUAAGGGCGUUGAAGCAUGAUCGUAAGGACAUGUGGAGCGCUUAGAAGUGAGAAUGCCGGUGUGAGUAGCGAAAGACGGGUGAGAAUCCCGUCCACCGAUUGACUAAGGUUUCCAGAGGAAGGCUCGUCCGCUCUGGGUUAGUCGGGUCCUAAGCUGAGGCCGACAGGCGUAGGCGAUGGAUAACAGGUUGAUAUUCCUGUACCACCUAUAAUCGUUUUAAUCGAUGGGGGGACGCAGUAGGAUAGGCGAAGCGUGCGAUUGGAUUGCACGUCUAAGCAGUAAGGCUGAGUAUUAGGCAAAUCCGGUACUCGUUAAGGCUGAGCUGUGAUGGGGAGAAGACAUUGAGUCUUCGAGUCGUUGAUUUCACACUGCCGAGAAAAGCCUCUAGAUAGAAAAUAGGUGCCCGUACCGCAAACCGACACAGGUAGUCAAGAUGAGAAUUCUAAGGUGAGCGAGCGAACUCUCGUUAAGGAACUCGGCAAAAUGACCCCGUAACUUCGGGAGAAGGGGUGCUCUUUAGGGUUAACGCCCAGAAGAGCCGCAGUGAAUAGGCCCAAGCGACUGUUUAUCAAAAACACAGGUCUCUGCUAAACCGUAAGGUGAUGUAUAGGGGCUGACGCCUGCCCGGUGCUGGAAGGUUAAGAGGAGUGGUUAGCUUCUGCGAAGCUACGAAUCGAAGCCCCAGUAAACGGCGGCCGUAACUAUAACGGUCCUAAGGUAGCGAAAUUCCUUGUCGGGUAAGUUCCGACCCGCACGAAAGGCGUAACGAUUUGGGCACUGUCUCAACGAGAGACUCGGUGAAAUCAUAGUACCUGUGAAGAUGCAGGUUACCCGCGACAGGACGGAAAGACCCCGUGGAGCUUUACUGUAGCCUGAUAUUGAAAUUCGGCACAGCUUGUACAGGAUAGGUAGGAGCCUUUGAAACGUGAGCGCUAGCUUACGUGGAGGCGCUGGUGGGAUACUACCCUAGCUGUGUUGGCUUUCUAACCCGCACCACUUAUCGUGGUGGGAGACAGUGUCAGGCGGGCAGUUUGACUGGGGCGGUCGCCUCCUAAAAGGUAACGGAGGCGCUCAAAGGUUCCCUCAGAAUGGUUGGAAAUCAUUCAUAGAGUGUAAAGGCAUAAGGGAGCUUGACUGCGAGACCUACAAGUCGAGCAGGGUCGAAAGACGGACUUAGUGAUCCGGUGGUUCCGCAUGGAAGGGCCAUCGCUCAACGGAUAAAAGCUACCCCGGGGAUAACAGGCUUAUCUCCCCCAAGAGUUCACAUCGACGGGGAGGUUUGGCACCUCGAUGUCGGCUCAUCGCAUCCUGGGGCUGUAGUCGGUCCCAAGGGUUGGGCUGUUCGCCCAUUAAAGCGGUACGCGAGCUGGGUUCAGAACGUCGUGAGACAGUUCGGUCCCUAUCCGUCGUGGGCGUAGGAAAUUUGAGAGGAGCUGUCCUUAGUACGAGAGGACCGGGAUGGACAUACCUCUGGUGUACCAGUUGUCGUGCCAACGGCAUAGCUGGGUAGCUAUGUGUGGACGGGAUAAGUGCUGAAAGCAUCUAAGCAUGAAGCCCCCCUCAAGAUGAGAUUUCCCAACUUCGGUUAUAAGAUCCCUCAAAGAUGAUGAGGUUAAUAGGUUCGAGGUGGAAGCAUGGUGACAUGUGGAGCUGACGAAUACUAAUCGAUCGAAGACUUAAUCAA